UGGGGAAUAUUGCACAAUGGGCGCAAGCCUGAUGCAGCCAUGCCGCGUGUAUGAAGAAGGCCUUCGGGUUGUAAAGUACUUUCAGCGAGGAGGAAGGCGUUGUGGUUAAUAACCGCAACGAUUGACGUUACUCGCAGAAGAAGCACCGGCUAACUCCGUGCCAGCAGCCGCGGUAAUACGGAGGGUGCAAGCGUUAAUCGGAAUUACUGGGCGUAAAGCGCACGCAGGCGGUCUGUCAAGUCGGAUGUGAAAUCCCCGGGCUCAACCUGGGAACUGCAUCCGAAACUGGCAGGCUAGAGUCUUGUAGAGGGGGGUAGAAUUCCAGGUGUAGCGGUGAAAUGCGUAGAGAUCUGGAGGAAUACCGGUGGCGAAGGCGGCCCCCCUGGACAAAGACUGACGCUCAGGUGCGAAAGCGUGGGGCAGCAAACAGGAUUAGAUACCCUGGUAGUCCACGCCGUAAACGAUGUCGACUUGGAGGUUGUGCCCUUGAGGCGUGGCUUCCGGAGCUAACGCGUUAAGUCGACCGCCUGGGGAGUACGGCCGCAAGGUUAAAACUCAAAUGAAUUGAC
RNAcentral lists this ribosomal RNA (569 nucleotides) under uncultured bacterium. RNAcentral's name for it is "partial 16S ribosomal RNA". It matches the Rfam family "Bacterial small subunit ribosomal RNA", at positions 355 to 914 of the family's 1533-position model. The record is from RNAcentral.